RNAcentral lists this long non-coding RNA (444 nucleotides) under Setaria viridis. RNAcentral describes it as "long non-coding RNA (SVIR_LNC002444)". The record is from RNAcentral. Lineage: Eukaryota; Viridiplantae; Streptophyta; Magnoliopsida; Poales; Poaceae.
AUAUAUUCUAGAAAUAGGGAGUCUGUAACUGAAUCCAAGUCUAUCGCUAGGAACGUAAAACGCACGGCAAUCCCCUGCGUAGUCCUGGCGUCAUGUACCUGUGUUUUGCUAUAUAUAACAGGCAACCGUGGUGAGCCAAGAUAUGUAGCCACGUUCUCAUCCAGUUUUACAUGGUAAUCAGAGCCUCUCUUCCACAAAACAUCCAAUCGCCGACUUCCUAGAAGAUCGACGAGAGCCCUAUCGCGACCAGGGACAGAAGCACGCGUCCUGAACCUGUUUCGACCAGGGCCGCGACGCAACAACGCUCAUGGCUUCAUCAAGCAUGACGACGUCCUCAUCUCUCGGUACUGUCUCCGAGAAGCUGACGAGGGAUAACUUUCUCCUUUGGAAGGCGCAGUUUCUUCCCAGCGUUAGAGGAGCAGAGCUCAUGGGGUUCCUAGACGG